AUUGAACGCUGGCGGCAGGCCUAACACAUGCAAGUCGAACGAGUGGCGGACGGGUGCGUAAUGUCUGGGCAACUGCCUGAUGGAGGGGGAUAACUACUGGAAAAGUUCGCUAAUUCCGCAUACCAUCCUAUCGGCCCAGAUGGGUUUAGCUGGUUGGGGGGGUAACGGCUCAUCAAGGCGACGACCCCUAGCUGGUCUGAGAGGAUGACCAGCCACACUGGAACUGAGACACGGUCCAGACUCCUACGGGAGGCAGCAGUGGGGAAUAUUGCCCAAUGGGCGCAAGCCUGAUGCAGCAAUGCCGCGUGUAUGAAGAAGGCCUUCGGGUUGUAAAGUACUUUCAGCGGGGAGGCGUUACCCGCAGAAGAAGCACCGGCUAACUCCGUGCCAGCAGCCGCGGUAAUAC
This 406-nucleotide ribosomal RNA is filed under the name uncultured bacterium. RNAcentral's name for it is "partial 16S ribosomal RNA". It matches the Rfam family "Bacterial small subunit ribosomal RNA", at positions 30 to 526 of the family's 1533-position model. The record is from RNAcentral.